RNAcentral lists this ribosomal RNA (253 nucleotides) under uncultured bacterium. Its description in RNAcentral is "partial 16S ribosomal RNA". It matches the Rfam family "Bacterial small subunit ribosomal RNA", at positions 524 to 776 of the family's 1533-position model. The record is from RNAcentral.
UACGUAGGGUGCAAGCGUUGUCCGGAAUUAUUGGGCGUAAAGAGCUCGUAGGCGGUCUGUCGCGUCUGCUGUGAAAACCUGGGGCUUAACCCCGGGCCUGCAGUGGGUACGGGCAGACUAGAGUGCGGUAGGGGAGACUGGAAUUCCUGGUGUAGCGGUGAAAUGCGCAGGUAUCAGGAGGAACACCGGUGGCGAAGGCGGGUCUCUGGGCCGUAACUGACGCUGAGGAGCGAAAGCAUGGGGAGCGAACAGG